UACGUAGGGUGCAAGCGUUGUCCGGAAUUAUUGGGCGUAAAGAGCUCGUAGGCGGUCUGUCGCGUCUGCUGUGAAAACUCAGGGCUUAACCCUGAGCUUGCAGUGGGUACGGGCAGACUAGAGUGCGGUAGGGGAGACUGGAAUUCCUGGUGUAGCGGUGAAAUGCGCAGAUAUCAGGAGGAACACCGGUGGCGAAGGUGGGUCUCUGGGCCGUAACUGACGCUGAGACGCGAAAGCGUGGGGAGCAAACAGG
RNAcentral lists this ribosomal RNA (253 nucleotides) under uncultured bacterium. RNAcentral's name for it is "partial 16S ribosomal RNA". It matches the Rfam family "Bacterial small subunit ribosomal RNA", at positions 524 to 776 of the family's 1533-position model. The record is from RNAcentral.